CCCGUGACUUCCUUCCUGCUCUGCCCUGUGCUGCAAACAGCUGUGCCUCCCUGGACACUCUUAGAGAGACCCUGCAGCUGAAAUUUGAUGUUGGUUUUGGCCUGCGUGGUGGAGUGCACUGGCUGCCCAGCACACACCCCCACACCAUGAACACAGCUGGGAUGGGCUAAACCUAGAGUGUUUGCUGAUUUAAAGGUAAGAAGCAACAGUACCAGUGGGCUCUUCUGUCUGUUACUGCUCUCCCAGAGAGGCAUGGAAAGGUUCCAGCAAGCACCUGCAGCUGGUUGGGAGAUAACUGGGGGUACAGAAGCUGGAAACCCCCAUUCUCCCUGCCCAGCACCCUGUCCUGGCCAAGGUGCAGGUGGAGAGGGGCGAGGGGCUGGCAGCUGUGGUGGUCUCACCCGGAAAUCUAUGCCCACGGUGGCUAUGAACGUCCCGGAGAGAAAGGCCCCGUCUUUGAACUGGAGCAGGAAGCAGGUUUUCCCCACGCCCGAGUCUCCAAGUAACAUCACCUGCAAGAUGGGCGCAGGGAGAGAUGUCAGCAGGACAGGGAGGGAGCAGCACCCCUGACUGGUGCUGAGCCCUCCCCUGUUCCUUCUCUCCCUUCGUUUCUCUCCCUAGGGCUGGUCCUGGUGGGUCUGGAAAGCCCCCUGGGAGCUGGGUGUGGGUGGGACCCCUGAGGGUGCGGCCAAGCAGUGCCCCAGGGCAGCAGGGCAGCCCCCAGCCGUGAAAAAGCAGGAGAGCUGGUGUGAAAGCAAGUACUGCAGCAAGAAGAGCCAGGCCCUGGCCAUCUCCCAGCCCAGCAGGCUCCUAGAGAACCAGCCACAGCACCCAAAUACGUGGAGCCAGCUCCCACGCUUUGCCCCUGACCCAGGUGUGCCCAGCCCAAGGGCUGAUGCCUGGCUUGGGCAAACCCUGCAUGUCCGGGACUCUCUCCCUGUUGGUGCCUGCUGCAGACACCAAAGCAAACAUGGUGCCUUUCCCCUCCUGCUAAGCAAACAGGAUCAGCCCAGGCUCUCCAGCCACUCCAGCACUGCCAGACUCAGGCAGGGAGCAGCCGAGACCAACGCUGGACUCCAUAAGCACAGCCUUUCCCGAUGCUGUGUUCUUUCUGCCUACCUGCAGCAACCUGUUCCUGCACAGCAAUCAUUAACCUGACUGCAUCAUUUUUCACCCUUAUGAAAAAUAGCAGUGAGCAGGACUUCAGCAGGAAGGUUCAUCCCUGCAUGCCCACCUGACAGGAUGCUGGAGCUUGCAAAGUAAAUCUCUGCAGCCCUGCUGCCUCUGGGGCAGGCAAACACAGCGGGCCGUGGCCACCUUCUCCAGGGCUGGCACAGCAAAUACCAAAGCUGGUGGCUGGAAAUGCUCUGCUUCCUUCUACCACUUUGCUGGUCAAAUCCUUCCCCAGGACUUGUGGGGAGCUGGGAACACUGCUCAGUUCUGCCUCCACCUCACUCUAGACCAAGCUGAAAACUGGUUUUCUCCCUCGAACAUGGAAAUUGCCCUCUAUGAGGAGGAGUCAGAGAGGGGAGGAUAAAGGCAAAGGAAUAAAAGCAGUUUAGAGAA
This is a long non-coding RNA of Haemorhous mexicanus (house finch), 1566 nucleotides long. RefSeq lists it as uncharacterized. Lineage: Eukaryota; Metazoa; Chordata; Aves; Passeriformes; Fringillidae. The transcript has 2 exons. The record is from RefSeq and is a predicted model, not a curated record.